Bacillus rossius redtenbacheri is the source of this 2227-nucleotide long non-coding RNA. RefSeq lists it as uncharacterized. The transcript is spliced from 2 exons. Lineage: Eukaryota; Metazoa; Arthropoda; Insecta; Phasmatodea; Bacillidae. The record is from RefSeq and is a predicted model, not a curated record.
ACAGUAUAAUUAAUUAAUGUAAAAUUAUAAUAAUAUUACAUUAAUAAAUGUUCAUUUUUUUAAAAUUAGAUUUAAACGGAUGUUUGAAUUGUUUCUGCGCAGUUGGUCAUUUACGGUUAAUGGCGUGUUUUUGGAAUAUUAUUGGCGUUCUGAAUUCUGUGGUUCUGGACUAGUUUGGGGUGGUUCGUUUCCAUUAUCCGUCUGCUACCGAGACUGAAGUGUCCAUCAUUAUUUCUAAUUGGUUAAAACAUGCGAAGAAGAGAUGUAGCUAGGGUUGUAAAUGAAAAAAAGCAUGUGUUUUUUUCUCUCAAAAAUAAAUGGUUUUUUUUUUUUUUUAGAAAAAACUUUGUCCCUAGUUUUUUUUUUCCCACUUUUCAGGUUUUUUUUAUUAUUUUAUAUACUGUAGCUCAUACUUUACAGUUAAUCUUUAUUGUGAAAAAAAUACUUUUUUUUUUGUUUUUUGUAAAAUAAAACAGGUUUUUUUUAUAGAAAAAUGCUUAAAAAAGGCAUUUUUUUUUAUAAACUCUACAUGUAGCACUCUUAAUAAGUAAGUAUAUUUUGUUUAGUGUUUAUUUGUGAUAUGGGCCUCCAGUCAUCAUUAUAAGUUCAGGGUACCUAUUAACUGGGAAACCAGUCGGUCAAAUCUUAUUUAAAAAUUAUGGCUUGGGCUUGUACCCUCAAUAUACGUGUCGUUAGAAAAAUUGUUAAGUGUCAACAUGCUGCCAAUUUUUGAUAUUUUGAAUUAUAUUAAUUUGUUUUCAACUGCUUUGAAUACUAUGUAAAUAAUAUCCACUUUUUUUUAUUUCAUUCAAUAGACCGUACAUAAUGGUAUAGAAUAUGCCAAAAUAAAAUUACAAAUAAACAUAAAUACAAACACACAAACAGGUACAAGAACAGUAUUAAAAGCAUUACAAUAUUAAAAUAAUAUAAUAUAACAGCUGCACUUCCAUGAAUAAGCACCUAUUUAGAUAAUAUGAUAUAUAAAAGAAAAGUAAUACAUAAAAACAAAAUUACGAAGCUACCUCCUGUUCAUAAUCAUUUAUAUUAUAAAAAGCCUUAUGUGAUAAAUAAAGAAAUAAUUCCUUUUUAAAUAAAUUAUAUUGGUCCAUAUUUUUUAGAACUGAUGGUAAUUUAUUGAAUAACCUAAUACCAACAUUUCUAACUGACUGUAAAGUUUUUUUUCUUAUGAACCCUUUGCAGAUGAAAAUCUGCAUUAAUUCGCGUGAAAUGCUCAUGAAUAUUAGUAUUUUUUAUAUAAAUUAAUUUGUUUUUAUGAAUAAAACAAUAAUACUUUGUAAAUAUAAAUACAGGGCACAGUAAGAAGACCUAAGGAUUUAUAAAUAUUACGACAACUGUCCAAACGUUUCAUGUGGAGUAUAAUUCUGAUUAAUUUUUUUUGUAUAAUAAAAACUGAUUGUAGAUGAUGUCUAUUACUACCCCAAAACAUAAUUCCAUAGCUUAUUAAAGAAUAAACAUAGCCAAAGUAGGCAGACCAUAGGCAUUGUUUGGUAGUUAUAUGAGAAAGUACUUUAAACAUAUAACACAUACUGUUUAAUUUAUUUAGCAAACCAAACGUAUGUUUGUCCCAUGAUAAAAAUUCAUCAAUCUCAAGUCCAAGGAAUCGUGAAAGUGCCACAAAAUUUAAGUUAGUAUUUUUUAACAGAGUAUUUGGUUUAUUUGAUUUUAAUUUAGAGGGAAAAAAAAUAAAAUUUGUUUUACCAUAAUUCAGUAGCAGUUUAUUAUUUGUAAACCAAGAGUUUAAUGUAUGUAGUGUAUUCAUAACCAGAGCAUCAAGUUUAGAAGCUGGAUUGGCUUUAACCAGUACAUUAGUAUCAUCUGCAAAAGAAAUGAUAGGAAUAUCGGUAAAAUGAUAACUUAGAUCAUUUACAUGGACCAGAAAAAGAAGUGGCCCUAAAAUGCUACCUUGAGGAACUCCUACAUUCAUAAGUUUAGGUAGGGAAUUAUAAGACUCUAAUAUAUUGUUACUAUUGACUCUAGUAACUUGAACUAUCUGCAUUCUGUUUGUGAGAUAAGACUUCAACAAUUUAUUGACUACACAUCUAAUUCCCAAAUUAUAUAAUUUAUCAAUAAGUAAUUUAUGAUCUACUGUGUCGAAAGCUUUGGACAGAUCAAGAAAAAUACCAACAACAUCCUCUGAUCUGUCCUUGCGUUACUUGUUUAAGUGAUUUUGAGUUGUAAAAAAAAAAAAAAAAAAAAAAAUGAAAAA